Molecule: long non-coding RNA, 1188 nt
Filed under: Sarcophilus harrisii (Tasmanian devil)
Lineage: Eukaryota; Metazoa; Chordata; Mammalia; Dasyuromorphia; Dasyuridae
Description: lncRNA (ENSSHAG00000026514.1)
Source: RNAcentral
GGCUGCUCGGCCGCCGCCGCUGCCGGGAGCCUGCCCCGCGAGGGGCUCUCCCUUUCGGCCUGCAGACGGCGGCUGCUCCCCGGGCGGAUGUCCGAGGAUCCCCCCAGCCCCUGCCCCCUCCUCGGGGGAGCCGGCCCCGGUGGAAGGCGUGGAGGAGGUGGGGGUGUGCAGGGGCACUGGACGGCGUCACAGACCCACGUUGCAAGUCAGAGGGGAACAACAACGACGACGACGAAGACGGAAAAGAGAGCAAGGCAGAAACGGGAGAAACAGCCAAAGAGAAGAGAGGCGGAGAGGGAGAGAAAAGAGAAAGAUGGAGAGAGUCUGUACCAAAGCCUCAUCCUUGCAGUCCUCCCAUUUCUAUCUCCUUUAUACGGUAACUUUGGAUCCCGCCCCAGAAGUAUUAUGAAUGACAAAAAUGACAGUUACAUUCAACCUUCCAUUAUGAUGGCAAAAUACAGGAAGUGUGGAGUCUUGGAAAUCUAAACAUAAAUGUUCGGUGAUUUUUCAUCAUUCUUUUUUUGGUAAGACUUAGAGUCCCAAAUUUUUUCUCUCCCUCCUCCUUUCCCAAGACAACAAGCAAUCGGAUACAGGCUAUACAUGUACAGUCAUGUUACACAGAUUUCCACGUUUGUCUUGUCAUGAAAGAAGAACGAAAGGGAAAAACUGAUAGAAAGAAAAAAAUUUUUAAAAAUGAAAAUAAUAAGCGGGGAUCUGCAUUCAGACUCCCUAUUUCUUUCAUUUUCGAUCACAAGGGCAGAGAUCUUUUUUAAGGAAGACAAUAUAUGGCGCUGUGGAAAGAGCCAUUGGCUCCUGAAUGUUCAAAUCUCACCUUUGAUGCUGACUACCUACCUGACUUGGACAAGUUACAUAAUCCCUCUGGGACACAAUUGUCCUUUCCUGAAUUCCCUUCCUACUAUCACUGAUAUUAAGUUAAAAGAAUGGGCUUUCAGAGAAGGGACUUCAGAGGCCAUCUCACCCAAUCCCCUCAUUUUACAGAUUAGAGAACAAAAAUUAAGCCACUUGUCCAAAGUCACAUGGAUAUUGACUUGGUGACAUGUUUUACACUUUUAUCUCCUGAUUUUCUCCACAAUGGGGAGAGGGAAAGAGAAGGAAAAAAGAAGCAUUUCUAUUUUACUCAAGAAAUGCAGGUUGAAUGUCCUGUCCACAUCUAGAUUAGAAAUCCAG